UCCGGUUGAUCCUGCCGGACCCGACUGCUAUUUGGGUGAGGAUAAGCCAUGCGAGUUGAAUGGGAUACCUAAAGUUCCCAUGGCAAACUGCUCAGUAACACAUGAUCAACUUGCCCUAUAGAGAAAAAUAACCUCGGGAAACUGAGGAUAAUGAUUCAUAGCUGAAUUGGCUUGGAAAAGUUUUUCAGUUAAAGGGAUAAAAAAAAUGGUUUUUAUCUGCUAUAGGAUAGGAUCGUGGUCGAUUAUGGUUGUUGGUGAGGUAAUGGCUCACCAAGCCGAUAAUCGAUAGGGGCCGUGAGAGCGGGAGCCCCGAGAUGGGUACUGAGACAACGACCCAGGCCUUACGAGGCGCAGCAGGCGCGAAACCUCCGCAAUACACGAAAGUGUGACGGGGUUACCCAAAGUGUUCAAUUUUGAACUGUGGUAGGUGAGUAAUGUUCCCUACUAGAAAGGAGAGGGCAAGGCUGGUGCCAGCCGCCGCGGUAAAACCAGCUCUUCGAGUGGUCGGGAUAAUUAUUGGGCUUAAAGUGUCCGUAGCCGGUUUAGUAAGUUCCUGGUAAAAUCGGGUAGCUUAACUAUCUAUAUGCUAGGAAUACUACUAUACUAGAGGGCGGGAGAGGUCUGAGGUACUACAGGGGUAGGGGUGAAAUCUUAUAAUCCUUGUAGGACCACCAGUGGCGAAGGCGUCAGACUGGAACGCGCCUGACGGUGAGGGACGAAAGCCAGGGGAGCGAACCGGAUUAGAUACCCGGGUAGUCC
Molecule: ribosomal RNA, 759 nt
Filed under: uncultured archaeon
Lineage: Archaea
Description: bacterial SSU rRNA
Rfam family: Archaeal small subunit ribosomal RNA
Source: RNAcentral